UACGAAGGGGGCUAGCGUUGUUCGGAUUUACUGGGCGUAAAGCGCACGUAGGCGGAUUGUUAAGUCAGGGGUGAAAUCCUGGAGCUCAACUCCAGAACUGCCUUUGAUACUGGCAAUCUUGAGUCCGGAAGAGGUGAGUGGAACUCCUAGUGUAGAGGUGGAAUUCGUAGAUAUUCGGAAGAACACCAGUGGCGAAGGCGACUUACUGGACACAUAUUGACGCUGAGGUGCGAAAGCGUGGGGAGCAAACAGG
Molecule: ribosomal RNA, 253 nt
Filed under: uncultured bacterium
Lineage: Bacteria
Description: partial 16S ribosomal RNA
Rfam family: Bacterial small subunit ribosomal RNA
Source: RNAcentral